CUCCUGAUAGCUCAGUGGUAGAGCAUGCGACUGUAGAAAUGGUUUCCCAUUGGGGUUAUCGCGAGGUCGGUGGUUCGACUCCAUCUCAGGAGA
Nematocida sp. is the source of this 93-nucleotide non-coding RNA. The record is from Rfam. Lineage: Eukaryota; Fungi; Microsporidia.